GGUAUUGAAAUAAGAUUUUAAUUGAAUGCUAAGAGAAUGGAAUUUCAGAAAAAAGCUUUUUUUAAAUUAAAAAUUGAACUUUUUUUAAUUUGUGCAGAAACAAUUAUUAAUAUUAAGGACAAGAAGACCCUAUGAAUUUAUUAAAUUUAUAUUAAUGAGAAUUUCACAUUAAAUAAAUUUUGGCUGGGGCGGCAAGGAAAUAUUAAAAACUUUUCAUAAAAUAAAAUGAUCCAUUAUUAAUGAUUACAUGUUAAAUACUCUAGGGAUAACAGCGU
Molecule: ribosomal RNA, 275 nt
Filed under: Rhipicephalus praetextatus
Lineage: Eukaryota; Metazoa; Arthropoda; Arachnida; Ixodida; Ixodidae
Description: partial large subunit ribosomal RNA
Source: RNAcentral